ACCAGACUCCUACGGGAGGCAGCAGUGGGGGAUAUUGCACAAUGGGGGGAACCCUGAUGCAGCGACGCCGCGUGGGUGAAGAAGCGCCUCGGCGCGUAAAGCCCUGUCAGCAGGGAAGAAAAUGACGGUACCUGAAGAAGAAGCCCCGGCUAACUACGUGCCAGCAGCCGCGGUAAUACGUAGGGGGCAAGCGUUAUCCGGAUUUACUGGGUGUAAAGGGGGCGCAGACGGCGAUGCAAGCCAGGAGUGUAAGCCCGGGGCCCAACCCCGGGACUGCUCUUGGAACUGCGUGGCUGGAGUGCAGGAGGGGCAGGCGGAAUUCCUGGUGUAGCGGUGAAAUGCGUAGAUAUCAGGAGGAACACCGGUGGCGAAGGCGGCCUGCUGGACUGCAACUGACGUUGAGGCCCGAAAGCGUGGGGAGCAAACAGGAUUAGAUACCCGGGUAAC
RNAcentral lists this ribosomal RNA (447 nucleotides) under uncultured bacterium. RNAcentral's name for it is "partial 16S ribosomal RNA". It matches the Rfam family "Bacterial small subunit ribosomal RNA", at positions 330 to 794 of the family's 1533-position model. The record is from RNAcentral.